Molecule: ribosomal RNA, 788 nt
Filed under: uncultured bacterium
Lineage: Bacteria
Description: bacterial SSU rRNA
Rfam family: Bacterial small subunit ribosomal RNA
Source: RNAcentral
AGAGUUUGAUCCUGGCUCAGAUUGAACGCUGGCGGCAUGCCUAACACAUGCAAGUCGAACGGUAAUAGGUCUUCGGAUAUAGAGACCGGCGCACGGGUGCGUAACGCGUAUGCAAUCUACCUUUUACAGGGGAAUAGCCCAGAGAAAUUUGGAUUAAUGCCCCAUAGUAUUAUGAAAUGGCAUCAUUUUAUAAUUAAAGUCACAACGGUAAAAGAUGAGCAUGCGUCCCAUUAGUUAGUUGGUAAGGUAACGGCUUACCAAGACAAUGAUGGGUAGGGGUCCUGAGAGGGAGAUCCCCCACACUGGUACUGAGACACGGACCAGACUCCUACGGGAGGCAGCAGUGAGGAAUAUUGGACAAUGGGCGCAAGCCUGAUCCAGCCAUGCCGCGUGCAGGAAGAAGGUCCUAUGGAUUGUAAACUGCUUUUAUACAGGAAGAAACACCUCUACGUGUAGAGACUUGACGGUACUGUAUGAAUAAGGACCGGCUAACUCCGUGCCAGCAGCCGCGGUAAUACGGAGGGUCCAAGCGUUAUCCGGAAUCAUUGGGUUUAAAGGGUCCGUAGGCGGUUUGAUAAGUCAGUGGUGAAAGCCCAUCGCUCAACGAUGGAACGGCCAUUGAUACUGUUAAACUUGAAUUAUUAGGAAGUAACUAGAAUAUGUAGUGUAGCGGUGAAAUGCUUAGAGAUUACAUGGAAUACCAAUUGCGAAGGCAGGUUACUACUAAUAUAUUGACGCUGAUGGACGAAAGCGUGGGGAGCGAACAGGAUUAGAUACCCUGGUAGUCC